RNAcentral lists this ribosomal RNA (468 nucleotides) under uncultured bacterium. Its description in RNAcentral is "partial 16S ribosomal RNA". It matches the Rfam family "Bacterial small subunit ribosomal RNA", at positions 28 to 507 of the family's 1533-position model. The record is from RNAcentral.
GACGAACGCUGGCGGCGUGCUUAACACAUGCAAGUCGAACGGAAAGGCCCUGCUUUUGUGGGGUGCUCGAGUGGCGAACGGGUGAGUAACACGUGAGUAACCUGCCCUUGACUUUGGGAUAACUUCAGGAAACUGGGGCUAAUACCGGAUAGGAGCUCCUGCUGCAUGGUGGGGGUUGGAAAGUUUCGGCGGUUGGGGAUGGACUCGCGGCUUAUCAGCUUGUUGGUGGGGUAGUGGCUUACCAAGGCUUUGACGGGUAGCCGGCCUGAGAGGGUGACCGGCGACAUUGGGACUGAGAUACGGCCCAGAGUCCGACGGGAGGCAGCAGGGGGGAGUAUGGCAGAAGGGGCGGAAGCCUGAUGCAGCAACGCCGCGUGCGGGAUGACGGCCUGCGGGUUGUAAACCGCUUUCGCCUGUGACGAAGCGUGAGGGACGGUAAUGGGUAAAGAAGCACCGGCUAACUACGUG